RNAcentral lists this ribosomal RNA (558 nucleotides) under Phascolosoma esculenta. Its description in RNAcentral is "partial 16S ribosomal RNA". It matches the Rfam family "Bacterial large subunit ribosomal RNA", at positions 1838 to 2620 of the family's 2925-position model. The record is from RNAcentral. Lineage: Eukaryota; Metazoa; Annelida; Sipuncula; Phascolosomatiformes; Phascolosomatidae.
AUCAGCAAUUGGAGGCAUUGCCUGCCCAGUGACAACUGUUUAACGGCCGCGGUAUCCUGACCGUGCAAAGGUAGCAUAAUCAUUUGUUCUCUAAAUAAGGACUUGUAUGAAUGGCCGCACGAGGGUUUUACUGUCUCUUACUUCCAAUCAGUGAAAUUGACCUUCCCGUGAAGAGGCGGGAAUGCACAAAUAAGACGAGAAGACCCUAUGGAGCUUUAACUAACCAACCCAAAGAGAAUAGAUUUAACCAUUAAGGAAUAACAACAAUCUCCAUGAGUUGGUAGUUUCGGUUGGGGUGACCUCGGAGAAUAAAAAAUCCUCCGAGCGAUUUUAAAGACUAGACCCACAAGUCAAAUCACUCUAUCGCUCAUUGAUCCAAAAACUUGAUCAACGGAACAAGUUACCCUAGGGAUAACAGCGCAAUCCUAUUCAAGAGUCCAUAUCGACAAUAGGGUUUACGACCUCGAUGUUGGAUCAGGACAUCCUGAUGGUGCAACCGCUAUCAAAGGUUCGUUUGUUCAACGAUUAAAGUCCUACGUGAUCUGAGUUCAGACCGGA